GUUUUGGUAUGACAGUGUCUCUCUGGAUUGACCUUGGAGUCGGGUUGUUUGGGAAUGCAGCCCUAAGCGGGUGGUAAACUCCAUCCAAGGCUAAAUACAAGCACGAGUCCGAUAGCGAACAAGUACCGUGAGGGAAAGUUGAAAAGUACUUUGAAGAGAGAGUAAACAGUGCGUGAAACCGCUUAGAGGUAAACGGGUGGAGUUGAACUGGAAUCUCUGAGAAUUCAGCUGGCGAAUAUUAUUUGAGCUUGGUCAAUUGGCAGGGCCCUGGGGUAUGCUUAUGUGCAUGUUCUGACCUUCGGGUUAGGAUGCGCGUUGCUCUUAUCAAGGGCUGCGCGCCUCGGGUGUUCGGCUGGCCAGGUCACCGGUGCACUUUCUCGGAGUGAUCACCACGACCGGCGUGCUGCUUGACUGUUCUAGUUAAAUCGAACGUUCAUCGUCCUUGUGGCGUUGGGUGGUCGACACGGCAGGUAACUGGGGGCUGGUUUCGGCUGGUUUCUCGGUGUAUGCUGGCUUUAACGGUUCUGUGCGGUGUGUCGGAGACGGCGGCUAGUAGUGUGUGCGUGCGUAGCUACCGUUUGGCAUAUUCUGGUUUGGUGACUGUGUGCUUGUUCAAGCAGGCCCAGUUAUGGCCGGGGUGUGUCGAAUGGUGGUUGCGUGUGUGGCACUUUUCUGGGCCAACAGUCUGUGGUGUUGUGGUAGACUAUCCACCUGACCCGUCUUGAAACACGGACCAAGGAGAGUAACAUGUGCGCGAGUCAUUGGGCGUAACGAAACCCACMGGCGUAGUGAAAGUAAAGGUCUGGCUUGUCCAGUSUAAGGUGAGAUCCUGUCGUUGUCWUGCGUGGUAUCACCAAGCUUGGAGCGAUAGGCGCAUCACCG
RNAcentral lists this ribosomal RNA (882 nucleotides) under Wallinia caririensis. RNAcentral's name for it is "partial large subunit ribosomal RNA". Lineage: Eukaryota; Metazoa; Platyhelminthes; Trematoda; Plagiorchiida; Allocreadiidae. The record is from RNAcentral.